ACGGUCCUAAGGUAGCGAAAUUCCUUGUCGGGUAAGUUCCGACCCGCACGAAAGGUGUAACGAUUUGGGCACUGUCUCAACGAGGGACCCGGUGAAAUUGAAGUACCUGUGAAGAUGCAGGUUACCCGCGACUGGACAGAAAGACCCCAUGGAGCUUUACUGUAACCUGACAUUGGGUUCUGAUACAUUACGUACAGGAUAGGUGGGAGGCAUGGAAACCGGAACGCUAGUUUCGGCGGAGCCGACGUUGGGAUACCACCCUUGAUGUAUCGGAAUUCUAACCGUAGGAGUAACGAAACUCGGGACAGUGUCAGGCGGGCAGUUUGACUGGGGCGGUCGCCUCCCAAAGAGUAACGGAGGCGCCCAAAGGUUCCCUCAGCGCGGCCGGAAAUCGCGCGAAGAGUGUAAAGGCAGAAGGGAGCUUGACUGAGAGCCAAACACGGCGAUCAGGUACGAAAGUAGGGCUUAGUGAUCCGGUGGCAUCCAAGUGGAAGGGCCAUCGCUCAACGGAUAAAAGCUACCCUGGGGAUAACAGGCUAAUCUCUCCCAAGAGUCCAUAUCGACGGGGAGGUUUGGCACCUCGAUGUCGGCUCAUCACAUCCUGGGGCUGAAGUCGGUCCCAAGGGUUGGGCUGUUCGCCCAUUAAAGUGGUACGUGAGCUGGGUUCAGAACGUCGUGAGACAGUUCGGUCCCUAUCCAUCGCGGGCGUAAGAGAUUUGAAGGGGGCUGCUCCUAGUACGAGAGGACCGGAGUGGACGAACCAAUGGUGUACCAAUUAUCCUGCCAGGGGUAUAGUUGGGUAGCUACGUUCGGAAAGGAUAAACGCUGAAAGCAUCUAAGCGUGAAACCAGCCUUAAGAUGAGAUCUCUCAUAACAAAAGUUAGUAAGACACCUUGAAGAAGACGAGGUUGAUAGGUCGGGAGUGUAAGUGCAGUAAUGUAUUUAGCGGACCGAUACUAAUAAGUCGAGGGCUUGACUAA
Molecule: ribosomal RNA, 980 nt
Filed under: human gut metagenome
Description: bacterial LSU rRNA
Rfam family: Bacterial large subunit ribosomal RNA
Source: RNAcentral